GCAAGUCGAACGCUAUCUUGUAUAGAGUGGCGCACGGGUGAGUAACGCGUGGGAACCUGCCUUUCUCUGCGGGACAACGGUUGGAAACGACCGCUAAUACCGCAUACGCCCUACGGGGGAAAGGUCAGCCGGAGAAAGAGGGGCCCGCGUUAGAUUAGCUAGUUGGUGGGGUAAUGGCCUACCAAGGCGACGAUCUAUAGCUGAUCUGAGAGGAUGAUCAGCCACACUGGGACUGAGACACGGCCCAGACUCCUACGGGAGGCAGCAGUGGGGAAUAUUGGACAAUGGGGGCAACCCUGAUCCAGCAAUGCCGCGUGUGUGAUGAAGGCCCUAGGGUUGUAAAGCACUUUCACUGGUGAAGAUGAUGACGGUAACCAGAGAAGAAGCCCCGGCUAACUUCGUGCCAGCAGCCGCGGUAAUACGAAGGGGGCGAGCGUUGUUCGGAAUUACUGGGCGUAAAGGGCGCGUAGGCGGCUCUUUAAGUUAGGCGUGAAAGCCCCGGGCUCAACCUGGGAACUGCGCUUAAGACUGGAGAGCUA
Molecule: ribosomal RNA, 539 nt
Filed under: uncultured bacterium
Lineage: Bacteria
Description: bacterial SSU rRNA
Rfam family: Bacterial small subunit ribosomal RNA
Source: RNAcentral